CCUAGUUGUAGGCUUGGCCUGCUAUCGCGGAGACCCAUGUCUUUUGAGUACCUUCGUUUCCUCGGCAGGGUCCGCCCGCCGAUUGGACAUUUUAAACCAUUUGCAAGUUGCAACCUAACAUCGUCUGAAAAAAACUUAAUAGUA
RNAcentral lists this unclassified non-coding RNA (144 nucleotides) under soil metagenome. RNAcentral describes it as "partial internal transcribed spacer 1". The record is from RNAcentral.